This 301-nucleotide ribosomal RNA is filed under the name uncultured bacterium. Its description in RNAcentral is "partial 16S ribosomal RNA". It matches the Rfam family "Bacterial small subunit ribosomal RNA", at positions 509 to 807 of the family's 1533-position model. The record is from RNAcentral.
CAGUCGCCACGGGAAUACGUAGGUGGCAAGCGUUGUCCGGAAUUAUUGGGCGUAAAGGGCUCGCAGGCGGUUUCUUAAGUCUGAUGUGAAAGCCCCCGGCUCAACCGGGGAGGGUCAUUGGAAACUGGGAAACUUGAGUGCAGAAGAGGAGAGUGGAAUUCCACGUGUAGCGGUGAAAUGCGCAGAGAUGUGGAGGAACACCAGUGGCGAAGGCGACUCUCUGGUCUGUAACUGACGCUGAGGAGCGAAAGCGUGGGGAGCGAACAGGAUUAGAUACCCCCGUAGUCCCUGUCUCUUAUAC